AAUGGGCGCAAGCCUGAUGCAGCCAUGCCGCGUGUGUGAAGAAGGCCUUCGGGUUGUAAAGCACUUUCAGUUGUGAGGAAAGGUUAGUAGUUAAUACCUGCUAGCUGUGACGUUAACAACAGAAGAAGCACCGGCUAACUCCGUGCCAGCAGCCGCGGUAAUACGGAGGGUGCGAGCGUUAAUCGGAAUUACUGGGCGUAAAGCGUACGCAGGCGGUUUGUUAAGCGAGAUGUGAAAGCCCCGGGCUCAACCUGGGAACUGCAUUUCGAACUGGCAAACUAGAGUGUGAUAGAGGGUGGUAGAAUUUCAGGUGUAGCGGUGAAAUGCGUAGAGAUCUGAAGGAAUACCGAUGGCGAAGGCGGCCACCUGGGUCAACACUGACGCUCAUGUACGAAAGCGUGGGGAGCAAACGGGAUU
RNAcentral lists this ribosomal RNA (417 nucleotides) under uncultured Gammaproteobacteria bacterium. RNAcentral describes it as "bacterial SSU rRNA". It matches the Rfam family "Bacterial small subunit ribosomal RNA", at positions 370 to 779 of the family's 1533-position model. Lineage: Bacteria; Pseudomonadati; Pseudomonadota; Gammaproteobacteria. The record is from RNAcentral.